Molecule: long non-coding RNA, 792 nt
Filed under: Sarcophilus harrisii (Tasmanian devil)
Lineage: Eukaryota; Metazoa; Chordata; Mammalia; Dasyuromorphia; Dasyuridae
Description: lncRNA (ENSSHAG00000023964.1)
Source: RNAcentral
GAUGAACCUUCAGCCUCUGUCCCACUGAAUGCCAGGGGGCUGUCACAAUUACAGGAAAACCAAAAGUCUGCUACCUCCCAGACUCCUAGACACUCAAAGGUCACUUAGGGAGCAGCACCUGGGACACAAGCUCUGGAAGAUGAGGAAGGAUGAUGUAUUUAGGGUGGUCCUUGACAAGUGGGGUCUCAUCCAGAGGAAGGAAUCAGAAUGAUGAGGGAACUGAAAGAUCAUGGGAGGAACAGUUGGGUUUUGUUCUGUUUCUGGAAUCUCUCUUUUCCUAAUCAUCUCCAGACCGCUCCAAAUCCAACUCCUCUCCACUGGACAAUUGGACUCCACCACUGGAACCACCCUAGGCUUUGAGAGGCAUGAAAGAUGCCUUCACCUGGAGGAGACUCCUGUGACUCCUGGACCAAAGGAUUAGCGCUAACUGAAGGUCCUCUGGCACCACCAGAAGAGGAUGGGGAAGGGAAUUGUGCCGUUGAUGCAAUCACAGAACUUGAGGCUACACCAUGAAAGCUACAGAAGGAGCAGGGCUAACCAUGAGAACUUAGACUUUAUGGCCAAGGUGGUGAGGGGAAAUGGAGCAUUAGGAGCAUCAGCCUAAAUGCUGGGUUGCCUAGCCCUCUCUUCCCCAGUCCCAUCUCCUUCAUACUGCAAAUGCAAAAGAUUGUGAGUGAUUGCCCCCUUUUCCCCAAAUCUCCAUUACCCCACCCCUGUCCCGGAAGGGUGGGACUAUUUCCUGAAAGUUAUCUCCAUUUUUUAAAAGAGUUUAUGAUUUGUGUGUACACUCUG